Molecule: ribosomal RNA, 495 nt
Filed under: uncultured bacterium
Lineage: Bacteria
Description: partial 16S ribosomal RNA
Rfam family: Bacterial small subunit ribosomal RNA
Source: RNAcentral
GACGAACGCUGGCGGCGUGCCUAAUACAUGCAAGUAGAACGCUGAAGGAGGAGCUUGCUUCUCUGGAUGAGUUGCGAACGGGUGAGUAACGCGUAGGUAACCUGCCUGGUAGCGGGGGAUAACUAUUGGAAACGAUAGCUAAUACCGCAUAAUAGUAGAUGUUGCAUGACAUUUGCUUAAAAGGUGCAAUUGCAUCACUACCAGAUGGACCUGCGUUGUAUUAGCUAGUUGGUGAGGUAACGGCUCACCAAGGCAACGAUACAUAGCCGACCUGAGAGGGGGAUCGGCCACACUGGGACUGAGACACGGCCCAGACUCCUACGGGAGGCAGCAGUAGGGAAUCUUCGGCAAUGGACGGAAGUCUGACCGAGAAACGCCGCGUGAGUGAAGAAGGUUUUCGGAUCGUAAAGCUCGGUUGUAAGAGAAGAACGAGUGUGAGAGUGGAAAGUUCACACUGUGACGGUAACUGACCAGAAAGGGACGGCUAACUACGUG